GUCGGGCGUGGUGGUGCACACCUGUAAUCCCAGCUACUUGGGAGGCUGAGGCAGAAGAAUCGCUUGAACCCAGGAGGUGGAGGUUGCAGUGAGCCGAAAUAGUGCCACUGCACUCCAACCUGGGCAACAGAGUGAGACUCCGUCUCAA
RNAcentral lists this non-coding RNA (148 nucleotides) under Chlorocebus sabaeus (green monkey). Lineage: Eukaryota; Metazoa; Chordata; Mammalia; Primates; Cercopithecidae. The record is from Rfam by way of RNAcentral.